Molecule: non-coding RNA, 1417 nt
Organism: Rattus norvegicus (Norway rat)
Lineage: Eukaryota; Metazoa; Chordata; Mammalia; Rodentia; Muridae
Source: RefSeq, a predicted model, not a curated record
ACAGGAUUCUUCUGCGAGCAAGCCUUUACUGUGUUACAGCUCUUCUUAGUGUUACAGCUCUUCUUAGUGUUACAGCUCUUCUUAGUGUUACAGCUCUUCUCAGUGUUACAGCUCUUCUUAGUGUUACAGCUCUUCUUAGUGUUACAGCUCUUCUCAGUGUUACAGCUCUCUUGAACAGGGACCCCGAGCAGCAAAAUCGCUCGACUUAUAUAGACAACUGUAUGCUAAUUAUCUCUCAGGGAUUGGUGGGGCUUGGAUCACCCCACUACUUGUCCUCCAGUGAUUGGCAGAGAAUGAAUCACCUCAUUAGCAUAUUAACGGUCAACUGACACCUGGUGCAUAAACCGCACAUGUGCAGUACCGCAGUUCACCACUAGAGGGAGCCCUAGCAAGGGACAUCCUGCACAUGCCCAGGGUCAUCAUGAGACGCAAAGGAACAGAUGGAUAGAAGUGUGGGAAUCCCGUCCAGAUACCCUGCUGGGAAAUGUGCAUGUCACGCAAGUCACUUCCUUGCUGUCUCAGCUGCUCGGCCAACAUUAUCACUGUGGAGAGAGGAACACUCGCAAAGAAGCACAAGAAUGCAGAAGCAGCAAAUGGAUGGUUCAGAGGCUGGCGCUGAUGAAGAUAACCAAUAGCCCAAUGGUGCCACCUUUUCCUAAGAAGAGAUGGGGCACAGCCAGCCAGCCACAGUGCAUUACUCUCGUCAGCAACAAUCAUGGUCUUAUCAUAAUCAGAAACCAUUGUGCAGUUAGGAUGAAGCCCCGAAAUGACAAUCAUCUCGCCAUUGUCACACGGUGAAUGGACCAUCAUACCAUCAGAGCAGAAAAGUGGCCCCAAAGCGCUCUCUUAAGUAAUCCUGCUGAAAAGAUUAGGCACCAGCAGCCCCAAGGAUGAGGAAACCCUGAAGAGGUGAAGGCAGAAAGAUAGCUAAGAGGCAGAGGGGACGGAGAACAAGGAAACGAGGCCCUCUAAACAUCGCAGGACCAACACACCAGUGAACUCGCAGAGACUGUGCCCAUAAAGAGUCUCCGGCUGAGAGGGAGAGUGGCUAUAAAUCCCAUCCCUAACCCAGAAACCGUCUCUGACUGAUAACUGCUCACAAAUACUCCGUUUUCUCCAAUGGAGUCUCACUUGGUAUGCAAACCGAUGGCUCGAUCUUUUGUGGGUUUUUUUUUUUAAAGUAUGCAUUGGUGUUUUGCCUGCAAAAACCACUCCUAAGGGCAGGUCCUGUGCCCAGCAGCAGAUGAGCAGUACAAGAGGAAUUCAACGCCAGUUUUUGGAGGUUCUUUGUCUCGCAAUGCUUUGUCGGAGCAUUUGUUCAUUCCUUCGUGCGUUUACUCUUUUAACGUUAUAGGUCCUUUGUGUCUGUAUCGUGGUUUCCCAUUUUGUGUUUUUAUGAGAUUUCUGUGUGGGGAAA